UUCAAUCUCACUGACAGUACCGAUUGAUAUUUAGAAAAAUAAAAAUAAAUAAAAAUAAAAAAUAAAAAAGAAAAGAACGAAAGCUCAAAAGCCAAAACAGAGAGGUGCCUAUAAAUGCAACCCUUCAGAGGGCAACAAGAAGUAACGCCUCCAUCUUUCUCUCUCUGCAACACCUAUGGCCUCAGAACAGCUCGACGCCAUCUUCUUCUCUCUCGUCUCUGAAGAAGUAGAAACCCCCCACUUCUCGGACGAGGCAUAUGCAGAAGCCCUGCAAUUCCAAGAAGUCAUCUUCUCUUCAAUCAUCUCUUUUCUCUCUACAACAACAUCUCCUCCCUCUCUCUCUAUAGCAGGCGCCUCCUCCUCCUCCACAGAAGAAACCACCCUCUCUCUCUCUGCAAACCCAACAGUCGCGAACACAGAAAUAGUAGCCGCCAUUGCACCAGUAGCAAGGUCUUCCUCCUCUGGUUUCUUCUGUGGAAUAUGCAUGGAUCACAAGACUCAUGAGGAAACCUUCUUAAACCAAGGUUGCUCUCACAGGUACUGCAAUGAAUGCAUGGAAAUGCAUAUUGCUGCGAAACUGCGGGAGAAUUUCGCCAUUAUUGGGUGCCCUAGUCCUCGCUGCAAGCAGGUUUUAGACAGCGAAAGUUGCAGGUCCUUCAUUCCAGACAGGAUUUUUGAGAGAUGGGAGGGUGCACUAUCAGAGGCCGCAAUAUUGGGGAUCAAUAAGUCCUUUUGUCCAUUUAUGGACUGUUCUGGGAUUUUGGAAAUUGAUGAGGGCAUACUAACUCAAAUAAGAGAGAGUGAGUGCCCAUAUUGCAGAAGACUGUUUUGUGCUAAUUGCAGGGUGCCAUGGCAUUCUGGGCUGGACUGUGAUGAAUUUCAAAGGCUCAGAGGGAAUGAGGAGGGUAAAAAUGACAUUAUCCACAAUGAAAUUUUGUUCACUAAGCUUGCAGAGGGGAAUAAGUGGAAAAAGUGCCCUAAUUGUAAGUAUUAUGUGGAGAAACAAGCGGGUUGUAAUCAUCUGACUUGCAGAUGCAAGUCCGAAUUCUGCUAUUUGUGCGGAUCCCCGUGGAAUGCUAAUCAUACAUGUGGGUGAUGACCAAGAAAAAGGGUCUCUUCAAGGAAACAAGCCUUGGCAUGAGAUUGGGAACAUGGUGUUGCCAUUCAUUUUUUCGAUUCGCAAAGCUCAGCCCAUUUCAAGCCAUGAGGAUCAAGUUCAUACAUCUUCCCAUUUGAUAGCUCUUCUCUUGCCAUGGGAAUCCGGCCAACCCAUUGAUCCUCUCAAGUGUAGAAGCUACACUUUGAUCCUACACUAUCACCAUGGGGACACAUGCCUAGACUUCAAUGACUGAAAGAACAUCUCAUAUUGCUGAUGGAACACCUCGUGGCCGACUCUCUCUCUCUUUUUCGGAUGGCAUUUUGCCGUAUCACUGCAAGAAUGAUAUAUAAGCUUCGAAAAUCUUUCAAAGUCGAUCUAUGACUUGGUCUAUGUCAUAAUAAAAUCCGAGGCAUUGAUUCGAAACCGUAACCCCCAAACCUCAACAUAUAAAUAGCCCUCUCAGUUCUAAUCUAGAGAUGAAUGAAGGGAGCCACAACCCCAAUUUUCUAAGGUCUAGUAUCAAUUCCAAUAUUACCUUCAUGUUCCCAUAUUGUUCUACAAUCAAAAUGCCCUGAACAUAGAAAAUCCAAACUGUCGUAAAACCCCUUCUUUUAGGCAUAGUUUCCCUUUUUUGCCAUAGAAUUUCUAUUUUAAUCCAAGGUCCCUUUCCUGAACUCUACAAAUGAUUAGGACCCUUUUUUUCUCAGUUAUCACUUAGACUAGGAGACCAAGAUCUUAUAAACUCCACCAUAUAUCCUUCAUAUACAGUUAUAUCUAACCCUACAGCUCUCCAAUCCUAGUCAAAUACCUCAAGACCUCAAUCAAAUAUUCUCUUAUCAUGAUCUUAGGGAUCGACCAUGAUCAAAUCAAACUAUUUCAAUAUGUUCUUAGGGUUGGUAUGAUCACGAAGAGUUCGCAUUUCCCCUCUUUUCUUUUGUUCUUUUGGAAAAAGCAGGUGAAACGGGGCAAAAUAAUGAGAGGGAUAAAACAUUGUACCGAAUAGAAAAUAAGAGUUUCAACCUAUAAUAUUCCAAAUGUGAAGGAUUCGUUAUCACAAGGCAAUAUUUGGUCCCUACAAUGUAAAACAUGUGCAUUUAUAUUGUCCAAGAAAAUUUGUCCUCGGGGAUGCAAGGAAGUAGUGAAUUAUGUAAAUUAUCUUGCUAAUGUAAAUACACAAGUAUUGUAAGAUUUAGAGCACCCGAGUCACCUUGAUGGACUCCAUGUUUCACCAAAAAUAUUCUUGUAUUUUUUAAAAUUAGUGGGUGAAAUGGAGCAAAAUAGGAAGUAUGAUAAAACUUUUCUUGUGAACUGAAAUAAGAACUUCAAUCUCUUUAUUUCCAGGCACGAAUA
RNA transcript from Amborella trichopoda, 2449 nucleotides. It is a transcript of the gene named E3 ubiquitin-protein ligase RSL1, with no coding region annotated. The record is from RefSeq and is a predicted model, not a curated record. Lineage: Eukaryota; Viridiplantae; Streptophyta; Magnoliopsida; Amborellales; Amborellaceae.